This 573-nucleotide ribosomal RNA is filed under the name uncultured bacterium. RNAcentral describes it as "partial 16S ribosomal RNA". It matches the Rfam family "Bacterial small subunit ribosomal RNA", at positions 355 to 932 of the family's 1533-position model. The record is from RNAcentral.
UGAGGAAUAUUGGUCAAUGGACGGAAGUCUGAACCAGCCAUGCCGCGUGAAGGAUGAAGGCGUUCUGCGUUGUAAACUUCUUUUAUUGGGGAAGAAACCUGGAUAUUCUUAUUCAGCCGACGGUACCCAAGGAAUAAGCACCGGCUAACUCCGUGCCAGCAGCCGCGGUAAUACGGAGGGUGCAAGCGUUAUCCGGAUUUACUGGGUUUAAAGGGUGUGUAGGCGGAUUAUUAAGUCAGUGGUGAAAUCUCCGGGCUCAACCCGGAAACUGCCAUUGAUACUAUUAGUCUUGAAUGUUGUGGAGGUGGGCGGAACGGGUCAUGUAGCGGUGAAAUGCAUAGAUAUGACCCGGAACACCGAUUGCGAAGGCAGCCCGCUACGCAACGAUUGACGCUGAGGCACGAAAGCGUGGGGAUCAAAACAGGAUUAGAUACCCUGGUAGUCCACGCCCUAAACGAUGAUUACUCGACGUGUGCGAUACACUGUACGCGUCCAAGCGAAAGCAUUAAGUAAUCCACCUGGGAAGUACGUUCGCAAGAAUGAAACUCAAAGGAAUUGACGGGGUCAUAGCUG